RNAcentral lists this transfer RNA (102 nucleotides) under Ceratovacuna nekoashi. RNAcentral describes it as "tRNA-Val". The record is from RNAcentral. Lineage: Eukaryota; Metazoa; Arthropoda; Insecta; Hemiptera; Hormaphididae.
AUUUAGAAAGAAAGAAAUUUAAUAUAUAUAUAUAUAUUAAAUAAAUAUCUAAAUUUAAGUAUAUCAUUUACAAUGAUAAGAUGUUUUUUAACUUUAUUUAAA